AAAAUAGUGAACCAAAGGGAACAAAAUUUCAGAGAAACCACAACAGGGUCAAUUACAAUGACAGCUGAGCAAAGAAUAAUAAAGGUGGAAAGAAAAUAAGAAUAUUAUAAGAAGGAGAAAAAUAAUGUCAGCUGACUAGAGGAAGGAAGACUGAUUUUGAGAGGAUACAGGGAGGACAAAUAUUAAGAGUAAAGGAUAGGAACAAGGCAUAGUGUGGUGGGAAAUAAAAUUUA
This is a long non-coding RNA of Phyllostomus discolor (pale spear-nosed bat), 233 nucleotides long. RefSeq lists it as uncharacterized. The transcript has 2 exons. The record is from RefSeq and is a predicted model, not a curated record. NCBI's taxonomy places the organism in Eukaryota, Metazoa, Chordata, Mammalia, Chiroptera, Phyllostomidae.